AUUUGCGCAACAUGAAGUAUUCAAAAAACUAAAUUAAAAUGGCGGACGCAUCAAGAGUGAAGAGUGGAGCUUUAUAAAACCAUUCAACAAUUGUCUUUUAAAAGACAACCAAAUAAAUAUUUUGAAAAACAACUACUGGAAGAUAUCUCCUGAUUCAGAUUUAUGAGCAAGAUAAUCAUGCUUCCAUGGUCAAAGUAGCUCUUCUGAGUGUGUUUCAUCAUCGACAUCAAUGCCAUGUGGGUCAACAUCACUGAAUGAAACUGCUUCAAUACGAAAGCUUACAAGUGAAGAUAUAGAUAGGAGAGGAUAACAUCCCAACCUAUACAUUGUAGUUAAAAUAUAAUAACAAUAUCAACCUCAAAUUCAACUAAUAUUUUGUAUGCAAUCAAGCAAAAUUUGGAAAUGCUGGUUGUUAAUUUUACUGCAAUUAUUACACAAGAUAUGAUUACACUCCUUUAUCAUUACCCAAUGCUGUCAGAAUUGCUAUCACAUGUGAAUGCAAUAUAAUUUUUGUACACAAUCAUUAUUUAAUUAUUGUUUUCAGCAUAAAUUAUGCCUUAUAAGGCCUUCUCCAGACAAUAUUUAUUGCAAGCUAUAUGAUAUUUGCUCCAAUAUUUGGCUAUAUUUGUGAAAGAUACAGUUGCAAGCUCAUUAUGAUCUAUUGCCUCGUUAUCUGGUCCUUAACAACAUUUCUUAGCACACUACUUAAUAAACACCUAUGUAAGCUUUUACUGAUUUCAUACAGUGAGUUAGAAGUCAGAUAUGUUAAAAAAAGAAGGAAAAUGGUAGGUUAAUCAAUAGUUUGGUAUGUUCUUGGUUCAAAAGUAUCUUCCGCAUUUAGUGGUGGCAAUAAUUUUAUAAUAGAGAAAACACAGGGUAUGUAAACAUGUGAAAUAAACAUGUUAUUAUUUGAUGUGUUUCAGGUAACUCCAAUCUUGGGUGUGCUUCUUAUCAUCUUGGGCUUUAUAUCUGUUGUUUGAACCUGUCUAGGGGCAAAUUGAAAAGAGUCAGGGUGAUAUUGUUGCAGACAAGGAUGUUAUCAUUCGUCGUUCAUUGUUGAAUGAUGCGAAACAUAUGUUACGCUGAUACAGACAGAGCCACAGCAUCCGCAGUCCUUAUAUUGUGGGUUUGCUAACCUCAGGAUGGUCCAAGCGUGGCAAAGGUUCCUGUCCAAAUUGUGGUUUGCAAUAUAGUUGCCGUUACAAGCCACCAAGUUGUUCAGGAUGCAAAUUUUGAGCUUGGAGGAUCAUAUGUCCCUAAAAAAAAGCCUCGUCCAAUGGUGCCUAAGUGUACCUUAAUGGUGCAGCCAUCAGACGGGUUAUCAAUCUACUCGGUUAAUACCAGUACCUAUGAUGAUCGAUGUAUUGUGGUUCGUUAAGAGGCUUGUACAAACUACUCAUACAACUACUAAACAGAAUAGAGCCAUUCAUAUUAACAGCCAAAAAGUGGCAAGCUUUAGUUGUCAGCAUUUGGAAUCCACCAGAGAUUGUACAACUCCUCUUCAGACAUUCAAUGGGAUAUCAGAUGAGGUCAUUUCCAGUUAUCUCUGUGAUGAUGAAACAAAAAAAACCCUGGCAGAAGUGGCAAAUGCAUCAAAGGCACAGUCAUUUCCAGUUGUGGUGCAUGUUUCUCCAACUAUGUAUUGCGUCUUUGGAAUGGCAACCACAAACAACACUGUUGGAUAUUGCCAUGUCAAGGUAACGGAAAAGGAAAUUAAAUGCUGUUCCAAAGACUGCAAAGGUAUGUUGAAGAGCAAGCAGCAAAAGUCCCGAAAAGUUUGCACCCACAUCCAUCUUUUAUUGGCUCUUGGCAUUUUUACACACAACGAAUGUGUGUCAGCAGAUCUUCGCCCAACAAUAGUGACAGACAGUUCCUUGACAACAAUUGACAGAAGUGGGAGCAAGUCUCGCAAGGCAACCAUGGGACUUAAAAUGAAGUUAAAGUUGCCAUAUGUCAUUCCAAAACCCAUUAAUUCAGGCAGCAGGUAAAAUGGAUUUUUCCGUGUGGCCAGAGCAGUUUGAACCAGACCAAACUUUGUGUGAUUUGUGUAAAAGUCCUCUUGGUCAGUCCAAGCCACACCCAAAUCAACGUGGGCGAUCAAUCAUAAUGACCAAUGGAUGUCCAUUCAAAACAGUCAAAAUGCUAGUCAAAGAUUGCUCAUGUUGCUUUGCUAUGCACCAAGUGUUUCCCUACACAUUAGGUCUGUUUAAUAUUAGUGACAAGGUUCUGGUGGCACUUGAAAUUCUAUUAGAGUUCCGAGAAUUGUUCAAAAGAGGAGUGCCAAUUUCUGUAGCCAUAAAAAGUAAAUUAGCCUUGAUGGUCCAGAAAGUUGAGGAAUCGCCAACAGAAAAUGAGUUGGAAAGUAUUGCUACACAUUUAUACAAUGGGUUUUAUUGCUUUGAGGCAAUAACUGAAUGCAAUAUGGAUUCAGGUGUUUGUGGAAUUUGUAGUACUGUUGGUGAAGUGUAUUUUGGGGAUGGGAAUGAAAAAAAUUGCUGCAGCAUUAGCGAGAUUGAUUACUAACCACUACAAGAUAUAGAUUGUGAGGAAGAUGAUCCUAUUUCCCUUGAGAUGUUCUUGGAGAAAUUAAAAUACAAUUUGGUGGAAAAAACAACCUACACACGAUCGGAAAAGGCCACUAUCCACUUUUCCACCAUUCCACCAGUCAUAGCCCCAUCAUUGAGAGGUACAAAAUUGUUCAACACUGAAGGGGAAAAAAAAAGUGCUUUUCUCAAGCAAUAUGGCAAACCUAAUGAAGGUGAUCCAGCUCUUUUGCAUCAUUGGAUAUCCACUCAAGUAGUUGACAUGAACACAAUUGAGCAAUGCAGUGUCGAGAAGCUGAAAGAACUUUGUCAUUUGUGUAAUAUAGCAAUUUCAGGCAAAUCAAAGAUAUUUACUGUAAUUUACGAUUGUGACUUGGUAUUAAUUUGCACGAAAUAACUUG
This 2944-nucleotide long non-coding RNA is filed under the name Dendronephthya gigantea. RNAcentral describes it as "uncharacterized LOC114517466, transcript variant X5". Lineage: Eukaryota; Metazoa; Cnidaria; Anthozoa; Malacalcyonacea; Nephtheidae. The record is from RNAcentral.